UAUCUCUGUAGAGUCUGCAUAUCAAUAAGCGGAGGAAAAGAAACUAACAAGGAUUCCCUAGUAACGGCGAGUGAAGCGGGAAGAGCUCAAAUUUGAAAUCUUCAAGGUUUGACCUUGACGAAUUGUAGUUUAAAGAAGUGUUUUCGGUUAGAGGAGUAGUAAAAGUUCUUUGGAAUAGGACAUCAUAGAGGGUGAGAAUCCCGUAUUUGACUAUUCUUUCUAGCUUUGUGAUACACUUUCAAAGAGUCGGAUUGUUUGGGAAUGCAGGUCCAAAAUGGGUGGUAAAUUUCAUCUAAAGCUAAAUAUUGGCGAGAGACCGAUAGCGAACAAGUACCGUGAGGGACAGAUGAAAAGAACUUUGAAAAGAGAGUUAAACAGUACGUGAAAUUGUCAAAAGGGAAGCGUUUGACACCAGUGUUGUUUUUCCGAAAAUCAAUUACGAAUGUUUUGUUUUUGAGGAGUUAUGACUUCAUCGGCUUGCUCCUUUCUUUACGAAACUUUCUUAAUGCACUUUUCGGUUAACAAGUCAACAUCAAUUUCUUUUGUUGUAAAAGGGUAUGAGGAAGGUGGCUUUCUUUUCGGAGAAAGUGUUUAUAGCCUUGUACCUCUGCAAUCGGAGAGAUUGAGGUCUGCAGCGUAGAUCCUUCGGGGUUAGAUACAUUUGUGCUAAGUUAUAGCUUUUCAUUGACAACUUGUUGACUAUGUUUAGUCUUGUAGCUUACUCGCUUAUGCUAUUUUACCUACGCUUAGGAUGUUGAAGACUCUACAGAGAUA
RNAcentral lists this ribosomal RNA (774 nucleotides) under uncultured Neocallimastigales. RNAcentral's name for it is "partial large subunit ribosomal RNA". It matches the Rfam family "Eukaryotic large subunit ribosomal RNA", at positions 24 to 632 of the family's 3401-position model. The record is from RNAcentral. Lineage: Eukaryota; Fungi; Neocallimastigomycota; Neocallimastigomycetes; Neocallimastigales.